GAUGAACGCUGGCGGCGUGCCUAAUACAUGCCAGUCGAGCGAACAGACGAGGAGCUUGCUCCUCUGACGUUAGCGGCGGACGGGUGAGUAACACGUGGAUAACCUACCUAUAAGACUGGGAUAACUUCGGGAAACCGGAGCUAAUACCGGAUAAUAUAUUGAACCGCAUGGUUCAAUAGUGAAAGACGGUUUUGCUGUCACUUAUAGAUAGAUCCGCGCCGCAUUAGCUAGUUGGUAAGGUAACGGCUUACCAAGGCAACGAUGCGUAGCCGACCCGAGAGGGUGAUCGGCCACACUGGAACUGAGACACGGUCCAGACUCCUACGGGAGGCAGCAGUAGGGAAUCUUCCGCAAUGGGCGAAAGCCUGACGGAGCAACGCCGCGUGAGUGAUGAAGGUCUUCGGAUCGUAAAACUCUGUUAUUAGGGAAGAACAAAUGUGUAAGUAACUAUGCACGUCUUGACGGUACCUAAUCAGAAAGCCACGGCUAACUACGUG
This 497-nucleotide ribosomal RNA is filed under the name uncultured bacterium. RNAcentral's name for it is "partial 16S ribosomal RNA". It matches the Rfam family "Bacterial small subunit ribosomal RNA", at positions 28 to 507 of the family's 1533-position model. The record is from RNAcentral.